This 379-nucleotide ribosomal RNA is filed under the name uncultured eukaryote. RNAcentral describes it as "partial 18S ribosomal RNA". It matches the Rfam family "Eukaryotic small subunit ribosomal RNA", at positions 592 to 976 of the family's 1831-position model. The record is from RNAcentral.
CAAUAGCGUAUAUUAAAGUUGUUGCGGUAAAAAAGCUCGUAGUUGGAUUUCUGUUGAGAGCGACCGGUCCAUACCAUGUAUGCGUAUCUGGCUUGCUCUCGGCAUCCUCUCGAUAGACGUUACUGCGCUUGAUUGCGUGGUGCGGAUCUCGGGACUUUUACUUUGAGGAAAUUAGAGUGUUCACGGCAGGCUUUCGCCAGAAUACAUUAGCAUGGAAUAAUACUAUAGGAUCUUGGUUCUAUUUUGUUGGUUUCUAGAAUUGAGGUAAUGAUUAAUAGGGACAAUUGGGGGCAUUCGUAUCAACACGUCAGAGGUGGAAUUCUUGGAUUGUGUUGCGACGAACUACUGCGAAAGCAUUUGCCAAGGAUGUUUUCAUUGA